RNAcentral lists this non-coding RNA (45 nucleotides) under Trichobilharzia regenti. Lineage: Eukaryota; Metazoa; Platyhelminthes; Trematoda; Strigeidida; Schistosomatidae. The record is from RNAcentral.
AUCCAGCUGACCAGUCCCAAAUAGGACGAAAUGCGCAUCCUGGAU